RNAcentral lists this unclassified non-coding RNA (389 nucleotides) under Hevea brasiliensis (rubber tree). The record is from RNAcentral. Lineage: Eukaryota; Viridiplantae; Streptophyta; Magnoliopsida; Malpighiales; Euphorbiaceae.
GACUUGAACGCUUGCCGCGAAAGGUCUAACCAGCCUCCCAGAGUUUUCCCACCCUCUAUACCGUCGACAUCAAAGGACAGAUUUCCCAUGGCGCGUGACAAGAUUGCUUUGAUUGGUUCAGGUCAGAUCGGCGGCACGCUCGCCCACCUCGUCGGGCUCAAGGAGCUGGGUGACGUGGUGAUGUUCGACAUCGCCGAAGGCAUCCCCCAGGGCAAGUCGCUCGACAUCGCGCAGUCCUCGCCGGUCGACGGCUUCGACGCCAACUUCACCGGCGCCAAUUCCUAUGAAGCCAUCGAAGGCGCCAGCGUGGUGAUCGUCACCGCCGGCGUGCCGCGCAAGCCUGGCAUGAGCCGCGAUGAUCUUCUCAGCAUCAAUCUGAAGGUCAUGGA